AAGGUACUCCCUCCGUUCCAAAAUUCUUGUCUUACAUUUGUCUAAAUACAAAUGUAUCAAGUCACGUUUUAAUAUUAGGUACAUCUGUAUCUAGACAAAUCUAAGACAAGAAUUUUGGAACGAAGGGAGUAUAUA
Molecule: non-coding RNA, 135 nt
Organism: Triticum aestivum (bread wheat)
Lineage: Eukaryota; Viridiplantae; Streptophyta; Magnoliopsida; Poales; Poaceae
Source: Rfam